UUCAGCUCUCCAAGAAUAAUCUGGAAUCCUCCUUUUCCUCUCAAUUCCAGCCGAUACCACGAUGAUCCAAGCGUUUAUCCUAUCCAUCUUAGACAACCGCGCCAGCCUCCUUGCCUCCUCUCUCUCCCCUCUCCGUUCAUUCAUUCCAAUGUAUUUAUUGAGCGCUUACCGUGUGCCAAGCGUUGUACUAAGCACUUGGGAGAGUACAAUGUAACGAUAAACAGACAGAGAAGCAGCGUGGCUCAGUGGAAAGAGCCCGGGCUUGGGAGUCAGAGGGCGUGGGUUCUAAUCCCGGCUCCGCCACUUGUCUGCUCUGUGACCUUGGGCAAGUCACUUCACUUCUCUGCGCCUCAGUUCCCUCAUCUGCAAAAAUGGGGAUUAAAAAAUGUGAGCCCCACAUGGGACAAUCUGAUUAUCCUGUAUCUCCCCCAGCGCUUAGAACGGUGCUCUGCACAGAGUCGGCGCCUAUCAAACACCAUAAUUAUUAUUACUUUCCCUGCCCACAGUGAGUUUACGGUCUGCACUUCACUCUUCUCCCCGGGAUCAUUUUUAUUGAAAAAAACAUUCCGCACAUGUCUCCCCAAGCUACAAACCCCUCCAAAGUUCGCCUUCCCGUUUCCACAUCACACAGAAACUCUUCACCAUCAGCUUUAUCAUCAAUCAACUCUCACAUACCUCAGCCAUCUCCUACUACAACCUAGCCCACGCACUUCCUCUAAUGUCAACCUACUGAAUUUACCCGGAUCUUGCCUUUCACUGCUAACCCCUUGCUCACAUCCUCUCUUAGGCCUAGAAUUUCCUCCCCGAAGCCCAUUUCCCCAGUCUUUCCCCCUUAACCUCUUUAAUAUUCAUUCAGUCGCAUUUAUUAAGCGCUUACCGUGUGCAGAGCACUGUACUGAUCACUCAGUCACCCCACCCCAGACCCACGAGGGUACUUACGUACCCUUAUACUCUGUUGUUUCCUCAUCUGGGAUUUCUUUCAAUGUCGUUCUUCCCCACAGGAAUAAUAACCGUGGUAUUUGGUAA
Molecule: long non-coding RNA, 1026 nt
Filed under: Ornithorhynchus anatinus (platypus)
Lineage: Eukaryota; Metazoa; Chordata; Mammalia; Monotremata; Ornithorhynchidae
Description: lncRNA (ENSOANG00000028433.2)
Source: RNAcentral